This 1153-nucleotide ribosomal RNA is filed under the name Bacillus altitudinis. RNAcentral describes it as "bacterial SSU rRNA". It matches the Rfam family "Bacterial small subunit ribosomal RNA", at positions 32 to 1167 of the family's 1533-position model. The record is from RNAcentral. Lineage: Bacteria; Bacillati; Bacillota; Bacilli; Caryophanales; Bacillaceae.
GGGCCGGGCGGCAUGCUAUACAUGCAGUCGAGCGGACAGAAGGGAGCUUGCUCCCGGAUGUUAGCGGCGGACGGGUGAGUAACACGUGGGUAACCUGCCUGUAAGACUGGGAUAACUCCGGGAAACCGGAGCUAAUACCGGAUAGUUCCUUGAACCGCAUGGUUCAAGGAUGAAAGACGGUUUCGGCUGUCACUUACAGAUGGACCCGCGGCGCAUUAGCUAGUUGGUGAGGUAACGGCUCACCAAGGCGACGAUGCGUAGCCGACCUGAGAGGGUGAUCGGCCACACUGGGACUGAGACACGGCCCAGACUCCUACGGGAGGCAGCAGUAGGGAAUCUUCCGCAAUGGACGAAAGUCUGACGGAGCAACGCCGCGUGAGUGAUGAAGGUUUUCGGAUCGUAAAGCUCUGUUGUUAGGGAAGAACAAGUGCAAGAGUAACUGCUUGCACCUUGACGGUACCUAACCAGAAAGCCACGGCUAACUACGUGCCAGCAGCCGCGGUAAUACGUAGGUGGCAAGCGUUGUCCGGAAUUAUUGGGCGUAAAGGGCUCGCAGGCGGUUUCUUAAGUCUGAUGUGAAAGCCCCCGGCUCAACCGGGGAGGGUCAUUGGAAACUGGGAAACUUGAGUGCAGAAGAGGAGAGUGGAAUUCCACGUGUAGCGGUGAAAUGCGUAGAGAUGUGGAGGAACACCAGUGGCGAAGGCGACUCUCUGGUCUGUAACUGACGCUGAGGAGCGAAAGCGUGGGGAGCGAACAGGAUUAGAUACCCUGGUAGUCCACGCCGUAAACGAUGAGUGCUAAGUGUUAGGGGGUUUCCGCCCCUUAGUGCUGCAGCUAACGCAUUAAGCACUCCGCCUGGGGAGUACGGUCGCAAGACUGAAACUCAAAGGAAUUGACGGGGGCCCGCACAAGCGGUGGAGCAUGUGGUUUAAUUCGAAGCAACGCGGAGAACCUUACCAGGUCUUGACAUCCUCUGACAACCCUAGAGAUAGGGCUUUUCCCUUUCGGGGACAGAGUGACAGGUGGUGCAUGGAUGUCGGUCAGCUCGUGUCGUGAGAUGUUGGGGUAGUCCCGCAACGAGCGCAACCCAUUGAAUCUAGUGCUAGCAUUCAGUUGGGCCACUCUAAGGUGACUGCCGGUGGAACAACCGAGA